CUGAACCUUCGGGGGACGAUAACGGCGUCGAGCGGCGGACGGGUGAGUAAUGCCUAGGAAAUUGCCCUGAUGUGGGGGAUAACCAUUGGAAACGAUGGCUAAUACCGCAUAAUGCCUACGGGCCAAAGAGGGGGACCUUCGGGCCUCUCGCGUCAGGAUAUGCCUAGGUGGGAUUAGCUAGUUGGUGAGGUAAUGGCUCACCAAGGCGACGAUCCCUAGCUGGUCUGAGAGGAUGAUCAGCCACACUGGAACUGAGACACGGUCCAGACUCCUACGGGAGGCAGCAGUGGGGAAUAUUGCACAAUGGGCGCAAGCCUGAUGCAGCCAUGCCGCGUGUGUGAAGAAGGCCUUCGGGUUGUAAAGCACUUUCAGUCGUGAGGAAGGUGGUGUAGUUAAUAGCUGCAUUAUUUGACGUUAGCGACAGAAGAAGCACCGGCUAACUCCGUGCCAGCAGCCGCGGUAAUACGGAGGGUGCGAGCGUUAAUCGGAAUUACUGGGCGUAAAGCGCAUGCAGGUGGUUUGUUAAGUCAGAUGUGAAAGCCCGGGGCUCAACCUCGGAAUAGCAUUUGAAACUGGCAGACUAGAGUACUGUAGAGGGGGGUAGAAUUUCAGGUGUAGCGGUGAAAUGCGUAGAGAUCUGAAGGAAUACCGGUGGCGAAGGCGGCCCCCUGGACAGAUACUGACACUCAGAUGCGAAAGCGUGGGGAGCAAACAGGAUUAGAUACCCUGGUAGUCCACGCCGUAAACGAUGUCUACUUGGAGGUUGUGGCCUUGAGCCGUGGCUUUCGGAGCUAACGCGUUAAGUAGACCGCCUGGGGAGUACGGUCGCAAGAUUAAAACUCAAAUGAAUUGACGGGGGCCCGCACAAGCGGUGGAGCAUGUGGUUUAAUUCGAUGCAACGCGAAGAACCUUACCUACUCUUGACAUCCAGAGAACUUUCCAGAGAUGGAUUGGUGCCUUCGGGAACUCUGAGACAGGUGCUGCAUGGCUGUCGUCAGCUCGUGUUGUGAAAUGUUGGGUUAAGUCCCGCAACGAGCGCAACCCUUAUCCUUGUUUGCCAGCGAGUAAUGUCGGGAACUCCAGGGAGACUGCCGGUGAUAAACCGGAGGAAGGUGGGGACGACGUCAAGUCAUCAUGGCCCUUACGAGUAGGGCUACACACGUGCUACAAUGGCGCAUACAGAGGGCAGCAAGCUAGCGAUAGUGAGCGAAUCCCAAAAAGUGCGUCGUAGUCCGGAUUGGAGUCUGCAACUCGACUCCAUGAAGUCGGAAUCGCUAGUAAUCGUGGAUCAGAAUGCCACGGUGAAUACGUUCCCGGGCCUUGUACACACCGCCCGUCACACCAUGGGAGUGGGCUGCAAAAGAAGU
Molecule: ribosomal RNA, 1367 nt
Filed under: Vibrio sp. JZ08ML70
Lineage: Bacteria; Pseudomonadati; Pseudomonadota; Gammaproteobacteria; Vibrionales; Vibrionaceae
Description: bacterial SSU rRNA
Rfam family: Bacterial small subunit ribosomal RNA
Source: RNAcentral